UACGGAGGAUGCGAGCGUUAUCCGGAUUUAUUGGGUUUAAAGGGAGCGUAGGUGGGAUAUUAAGUCAGCUGUGAAAGUUUGGGGCUCAACCUUAAAAUUGCAGUUGAUACUGGUUUCCUUGAGUACGGUAUAGGUGGGCGGAAUUCGUGGUGUAGCGGUGAAAUGCUUAGAUAUCACGAAGAACUCCGAUCGCGAAGGCAGCUCACCGGGCCGGAACUGACACUGAUGCUCGAAAGUGCGGGUAUCAAACAGGAUUAGAUACCCUGGUAGUCCGCACAGUAAACGAUGAAUACUCGCUGUUUGCGAUACACUGUAAGCGGCCAAGCGAAAGCGUUAAGUAUUCCACCUGGGGAGUACGCCGGCAACGGUGAAACUCAAAGGAAUUGACGGGG
This 392-nucleotide ribosomal RNA is filed under the name uncultured bacterium. RNAcentral describes it as "partial 16S ribosomal RNA". It matches the Rfam family "Bacterial small subunit ribosomal RNA", at positions 524 to 918 of the family's 1533-position model. The record is from RNAcentral.